UACGGGGGGGGCAAGCGUUGUUCGGAAUUACUGGGCGUAAAGGGCUCGUAGGCGGCCAUCUAAGUCAGACGUGAAAUCCCCGGGCUCAACCCGGGAACUGCGUUCGAUACUGGUUGGCUUGAAUCCGGGAGAGGGAUGCAGAAUUCCAGGUGUAGCGGUGAAAUGCGUAGAUAUCUGGAGGAAUACCGGUGGCGAAGGCGGCAUCCUGGACCGGCAUUGACGCUGAGGCGCGAAAGCUAGGGGAGCGAACGGG
RNAcentral lists this ribosomal RNA (253 nucleotides) under uncultured bacterium. Its description in RNAcentral is "partial 16S ribosomal RNA". It matches the Rfam family "Bacterial small subunit ribosomal RNA", at positions 524 to 776 of the family's 1533-position model. The record is from RNAcentral.